This 708-nucleotide ribosomal RNA is filed under the name uncultured marine alveolate. RNAcentral's name for it is "SSU rRNA". It matches the Rfam family "Eukaryotic small subunit ribosomal RNA", at positions 618 to 1328 of the family's 1831-position model. The record is from RNAcentral.
GUUAAAAAGCUUCGUAGUUGGAUUUCUGUCGGUGAGUGUCAGUCCGCCCACAGCGGUAGGUACGUGAUGCGCCACCGGCAUCUUCCUGGGGAAUGUGUCUGCUCUUUAUUGAGUGGUACAUAAGCCAGGACUUUUACUUUGAAGAAAUGAGAGUGUUUCAAGCAGGCAUGCGCCGUGAAUACGUUAGCAUGGGAUAAUAGCAUCGGACCUCGUUCCAAAGCUGUUGGUUUCUUGGACCGAGGUAAAGGUGAAUAGGGAUUGUUGGGGGCAUUCGUAUUUGACUGUCAGAGGUGAAAUUCUUGGAUUUGUUGAAGACGGACUACUGCGAAAGCAUCUGCCAAAGAUGUUCUCAUUGAUCAAGAACGAAAGUUAGGUGAUCGAAGACGAUCAGAUACCGUCCCAGUCUUAACCAUAAACUAUGCCGACUGGAGAUCGGGGGUCGUUAAUUAUGUGACGCCCUCUGCAUCUUGAGAGAAAUCAAAGUCUUUGGGUUCCGGGGGGAGUAUGGUCGCAAGGCUGAAACUUAAAGGAAUUGACGGAAGGGCACCACCAGGAGUGGAGCCUGCGGCUUAAUUUGACUCAACACGGGGAAACUUACCAGGUCCAGACAUAGUAAGGAUUGACAGACUGAUAGCUCUUUCGAGAUUCUAUGGGUGGUGGUGCAUGGCCGUUCUUAGUUGGUGGAGUGAUUUGUCUGGUUAAUUCCGU